This 287-nucleotide unclassified non-coding RNA is filed under the name uncultured fungus. RNAcentral describes it as "partial contains small subunit ribosomal RNA, internal transcribed spacer 1, and 5.8S ribosomal RNA". The stretch from base 1 to 73 matches the Rfam family "Eukaryotic small subunit ribosomal RNA", at positions 1759 to 1831 of the family's 1831-position model. Lineage: Eukaryota; Fungi. The record is from RNAcentral.
GCAAACUUGGUCAUUUAGAGGAAGUAAAAGUCGUAACAAGGUCUCCGUUGGUGAACCAGCGGAGGGAUCAUUACAGUGACUUUACCGUCUAAACCACCGCGAACGUACCCUGACGUUGCCUCGGCGGGCGCUGCGGCGCCGGACCCUCAGCGGCCCGGCCCGCUGCGUCGAGCCCGCCGGCGGCCCAAAACCCUGACUCUGAAGCGUUGCAUCUCUGAGUAUGACACAAAUGAGUCAAAACUUUCAACAACGGAUCUCUUGGUUCUGGCAUCGAUGAAGAACGCAGC